Molecule: ribosomal RNA, 480 nt
Filed under: uncultured bacterium
Lineage: Bacteria
Description: partial 16S ribosomal RNA
Rfam family: Bacterial small subunit ribosomal RNA
Source: RNAcentral
GACGAACGCUGGCGGCGUACUUAACACAUGCAAGUCGAACGAUGAAGAAAAGAAUCGAAGCUUCGGCAGAAAUUCAUUUCGGAUUAGUGGCAGACGGGUGAGUAACGCGUGAGCAACCUACCUCUUACAAAGGGAUAGCCUCGGGAAACCGGGAUUAAUACCAUAUAACAUUGCGACGAAGCAUUUCGAUGCAAUCAAAGCUACGGCGGUAAGAGAUGGGCUCGCGUCCCAUUAACCGGAUGGUGAGGUAACGGCUCACCAUAGUGACGAUGGGUAACCGGCCUGAGAGGGUGAACGGUCACACUGGAACUGAGACACGGUCCAGACUCCUACGGGAGGCAGCAGUGGGGAAUAUUGCACAAUGGAGGGAACUCUGAUGCAGCGACGCCGCGUGAGUGAUGAAGGAAUUCGUUUCGUAAAACUCUGUUCUAUGGGAAGAAAAGGACUGUACCAUAGGAGAAAGCUCCGGCUAAAUACGUG